Long non-coding RNA from Suricata suricatta (meerkat), 537 nucleotides. RefSeq lists it as uncharacterized. NCBI's taxonomy places the organism in Eukaryota, Metazoa, Chordata, Mammalia, Carnivora, Herpestidae. The transcript has 5 exons. The record is from RefSeq and is a predicted model, not a curated record.
UGGAGUCCUAUUGUCUUGUGACAGUUUCUAAAGACUUUGCUGAUGUUGGAAGUAGUCAGAGCCACUGUCAAAUCCACAGAUUUCAAGGCAGCACAUGGAUGAUCAUACUUCUUGCCUGGGGUUUGGGGAAGCAUUUAAAGAACUUCACGAGAACUUAAAGACCCACCAUUUGAACAUCUGGUCUGGGCUGUUUCCUCUGUCUCCUCAGCGUUGCCUCCGCUGUGCACAUCUGACCUGGUUUCUGGCUGCAUUUCUUCAGUUCCUUCUUCAGUGGGCGUUGACACUGUUAAGUUGUGCCUUCCAGAAGCUGGAGAUGCAGGUCCUUUAGAAUGGAGGAGAGGGCUGCAGGAAACAACUUGACAAGAACUCCAGAAAGACAGACAGGCCUGAGACUCUACUUCACUUUCUGGAUAGACCUGGUCCCCAGAGGAAGGGCAGCACUGGCUCAGAGCUGGGGAUGAGGAGAGGAGGCCUCACAUCAGUGAUGACAGCUAUUUCAUUUCUUUUUUCUUUUCCCUAUAAAAAGAAAAAAAAUCA